This 584-nucleotide unclassified non-coding RNA is filed under the name Hevea brasiliensis (rubber tree). The record is from RNAcentral. Lineage: Eukaryota; Viridiplantae; Streptophyta; Magnoliopsida; Malpighiales; Euphorbiaceae.
AUUCUUUUAUAAAAAAAAAAAAAUCACUUAAAUCAUUUUUUUAUUUUUUGUAUUUUCUUCAUGUUUAGGUGAGGUUCUUGUAUUCAUUUUGUUUUUACUAUUUAAAUUUUGAAAGGGUAAAAUCAAUAAAAUGGUUAGCUAAAAAAUAAUAGCUAAUAAGGGCCUUUUAAGUUUAGUCCAAUUUCAAUAAGAUUAAGGUGUUAUUUGAAGCUUAGUAUAAUCCCAAGAUAAGCCCAAUUUCAUUUAUCUUUUUCAUGUGAUGUUCAUGUUAAGAUGAUGUAUAAAUAAAUGUGUAGGCAAAUAUGACAAUUUUGUGCAGAUUUUGUUGUAUUGAAAAUUUGGGAAAUGUCUAGUUUUUAGGGAAAGCUCUAUCGAAUUUUUAGUAAAUUUGUAAGUAAUGAUAUAUUUGAUUUGAUUUGUAUUAAAUCUUUUUAUUAUUAAAUUAUGUUUAACUUAUGAAUGAUGAAAUGUGCACAUAUUUUUUCUAGUUUAAUUGAAUUAAUAAAAGUUAAGGUUGUGAUUAAUUAGUGCCGAUGAUGAGACUUUGAUCUUGUUAAGUGGAGUACCCACAAAUGGAUUAGACU